AAUGGAUAAAUGGAGAUAAGCUUUUUUUAAAAAAAAAUUUGAAUUUAGAUUAAAAAUAAAAAUGUUUUUAUAAUUUUAUUAGACGAGAAGACCCUAAAAUCUUAAAUUAUUAAAAAAUAAUUUUAAUUGGGGCAAUUAAAAAAUAAAAAGUAAUUUUAUCAAGAAAGUUUAAAAAAUAAAUAGAUAAGAUACUUUAGGGAUAACAGCGUAAUUAUUAUGGAGAGUUCAUAUUGAUAUAGUAGUUUGCGACCUCGAUGUUGAAUUGAUGAGUCUAUAUGGNGGAGAGACUAUAA
This 293-nucleotide ribosomal RNA is filed under the name Ornithonyssus sylviarum (northern fowl mite). Its description in RNAcentral is "partial 16S ribosomal RNA". The record is from RNAcentral. Lineage: Eukaryota; Metazoa; Arthropoda; Arachnida; Mesostigmata; Macronyssidae.